This 446-nucleotide ribosomal RNA is filed under the name uncultured bacterium. Its description in RNAcentral is "bacterial SSU rRNA". It matches the Rfam family "Bacterial small subunit ribosomal RNA", at positions 28 to 490 of the family's 1533-position model. The record is from RNAcentral.
GACGAACGCUGGCGGCGUGCUUAACACAUGCAAGUCGAGCGAUGAAGCACCUUCGGGUGUGAAUUAGCGGCGAACGGGUGAGGAACACGUGAAGAAUCUGCCUUCAACUCUGGGAUAACUCCGGGAAACCGGGGCUAAUACCGGAUAUGAGCCUUGAUCGCAUGAUCGGGGCUGGAAAGUUUUUCGGUUGAAGAUGACUUCGCGGCCUAUCAGCUUGUUGGUGAGGUAAUGGCUCACCAAGGCGACGACGGGUAGCCGGCCUGAGAGGGCGACCGGCCACACUGGGACUGAGACACGGCCCAGACUCCUACGGGAGGCAGCAGUGGGGAAUAUUGGGCAAUGGAGGAAACUCUGACCCAGCGACGCCGCGUGAGGGAUGAAGGCCUUCGGGUUGUAAACCUCUUUCAGUAGGAAGAAGCGAAAGUAGACGGUACCUACAGAAGAAG